CUCACCACACGCCCUCCUCUGCCUCGUUUUCUCCCGCCACACUCUCUGUCUUCCUCCCCUCCUCCUAAAUGCCAAGCGUACAGUUACCUUACCUCGUUAGUCAAUGACAUUUUUCUGUGUAAAUAUAUACCCCCAAAUUUCAACCAAAUCCUUUGUUAUUUUUCUUCGAAAUCUACUGAAUUUCUCUUAAUCCAAGACCCAUUUGUUCUGCCCAGCAUUUCCAACUGCAGGUGAGGAUAUAAGGCUCUAUUUAGUUCAUCAUAGAGACCGUUAUUGGAUCAUGGGUUCACAGGAUCCUGUUCCGGUGGCUGACAAGGCUAAUGUAACGGAGACCUCAGUGCGUGGGGCUUGUCCUAGAAAAAAGAUUCACAGGAAAAUUCCUUAGAGAAUCCACAAGGCUGAGAGUGAGAAAUAUAAGCGUGUGUCAUUUUUCUUGAGCUGGCUGAUGCUCCUUGUGACACAUGAGAAGAAUGAGCUCAGAGAGGAUAAUUCUGCUGACAGUCUCCUGCUGAUGAUGGCCAAUGGCUUACUUAUCUUUGCCAAAGCCAUUGAGCAAACAAAGGGUGCUCACUUGUGAAUUAUGAUGCUUCCGUGAGUUUUUCUUCAAUAUCACCCACCAAUCAUCAUAGUUUGUUUGAAGCUUCAAUGCUGUCAGUCUCACUGAAAGUUGGAUAUCAAAUGUAUGGGUGGUAAUAAUGCUUUGCAGUAGUAAGUUGCAGGAGAGAAAAAUGUAGUGCAUGUAUAAAAUUUAUAAAACGCCCCUAGUGUCACAUGUACUUGUAUUAAUAUUG
Molecule: non-coding RNA, 791 nt
Organism: Prunus mume (Japanese apricot)
Lineage: Eukaryota; Viridiplantae; Streptophyta; Magnoliopsida; Rosales; Rosaceae
Source: RefSeq, a predicted model, not a curated record